Molecule: ribosomal RNA, 425 nt
Filed under: uncultured bacterium
Lineage: Bacteria
Description: bacterial SSU rRNA
Rfam family: Bacterial small subunit ribosomal RNA
Source: RNAcentral
GGGGAAUUUUGGACAAUGGGGGAAACCCUGAUCCAGCCAUGCCGCGUGCGGGAUGAAGGCCUUCGGGUUGUAAACCGCUUUUGUUAGAGACGAAAAGGGACGCACGAAUAAUGCGCCCCGCUGACGGUAUCUGAAGAAUAAGCACCGGCUAACUACGUGCCAGCAGCCGCGGUAAUACGUAGGGUGCAAGCGUUAAUCGGAAUUACUGGGCGUAAAGGGUGCGCAGGCGGCUGUGCAAGACAGAUGUGAAAUCCCCGGGCUUAACCUGGGAACUGCAUUUGUGACUGCACGGCUAGAGUUUAUCAGAGGAGGGUGGAAUUCCGCGUGUAGCAGUGAAAUGCGUAGAUAUGCGGAAGAACACCAAUGGCGAAGGCAGCCCUCUGGGACAUGACUGACGCUCAUGCACGAAAGCGUGGGGAGCAAAC